RNAcentral lists this ribosomal RNA (1138 nucleotides) under uncultured bacterium. RNAcentral describes it as "bacterial SSU rRNA". It matches the Rfam family "Bacterial small subunit ribosomal RNA", at positions 158 to 1299 of the family's 1533-position model. The record is from RNAcentral.
GAAUAKUUUUACCCGAUGGNAUGCRUUUCCCKAAUCGGAGAUGCAUUAAAGAUUUUAUCGGUGACGGAUGAGGAUGCGUACGAUUAGCUGGUUGGCGGGGUAACGGCCCACCAAGGCUACGAUCGUUAGGGGUUCUGAGAGGAAGGUCCCCCACACUGGAACUGAGACACGGUCCAGACUCCUACGGGAGGCAGCAGUGAGGAAUAUUGGUCAAUGGGCGGGAGCCUGAACCAGCCAAGUAGCGUGAAGGAUGACUGCCCUACGGGUUGUAAACUUCUUUUGUUUGGGAAUAAAAGACGCUACGUGUAGCGUUCUGCAUGUACCUUACGAAUAAGCAUCGGCUAAUUCCGUGCCAGCAGCCGCGGUAAUACGGAAGAUGCGAGCGUUAUCCGGAUUUAUUGGGUUUAAAGGGAGCGUAGGCGGGCUGUUAAGUCAGCGGUAAAAUGUCAAGGCCCAACCUUGUCCUGCCGUUGAAACUGGCGGUCUUGAAUGCACACAAGGGAGAUGGAAUUCGUCGUGUAGCGGUGAAAUGCUUAGAUAUGACGAAGAACUCCGAUUGCGAAGGCAGUCUCCUGGGGUGUAAUUGACGCUGAGGCUCGAAAGUGCGGGUAUCAAACAGGAUUAGAUACCCUGGUAGUCCGCACAGUAAACGAUGAAUGCUGGUUCUUGGCGAUAUACGGUCAGGAACUGAGGGAAACCAUUAAGCAUUCCACCUGGGGAGUACGCCGGCAACGGUGAAACUCAAAGGAAUUGACGGGGGCCCGCACAAGCGGAGGAACAUGUGGUUUAAUUCGAUGAUACGCGAGGAACCUUACCCGGGCUUGAAUUGCAGCUGCAUAGAAUAGAGAUAUUCUUUCCCUUCGGGGCUGCUGUGAAGGUGCUGCAUGGUUGUCGUCAGCUCGUGCCGUGAGGUGUCGGCUUAAGUGCCAUAACGAGCGCAACCCUUGCUGUCAGUUGCCAUCAGGUAAUGCUGGGCACUCUGACGGGACUGCCAUCGCAAGAUGUGAGGAAGGUGGGGAUGACGUCAAAUCAGCACGGCCCUUACGUCCGGGGCUACACACGUGUUACAAUGGGGAGUACAGAAAGCCGCUUCAUGGCGACAUGAGGCCAUUCUUGAAAGCUCCUCUCAGUUCGGACU